RNAcentral lists this ribosomal RNA (301 nucleotides) under uncultured bacterium. Its description in RNAcentral is "partial 16S ribosomal RNA". It matches the Rfam family "Bacterial small subunit ribosomal RNA", at positions 509 to 807 of the family's 1533-position model. The record is from RNAcentral.
CAGUCGCCGCGGUAAUACGGAGGGGGCUAGCGUUGUUCGGAAUUACUGGGCGUAAAGCGCACGUAGGCGGCUUUGUAAGUUAGAGGUGAAAGCCCGGAGCUCAACUCCGGAAUUGCCUUUAAGACUGCCGAGCUAGUAGGUGAGAGAGGUAAGUGGAAUUCCGAGUGUAGAGGUGAAAUUCGUAGAUAUUCGGGAGAACACCAGUGGCGAAGGCGGCUUACUGGCUCAUUCUAGACGCUGAGGUGCGAAAGCGUGGGGAGCAAACAGGAUUAGAUACCCCCGUAGUCCCUGUCUCUUAUAC